Oncorhynchus tshawytscha (Chinook salmon) is the source of this 549-nucleotide long non-coding RNA. NCBI's taxonomy places the organism in Eukaryota, Metazoa, Chordata, Actinopteri, Salmoniformes, Salmonidae. The record is from Ensembl.
CUCACGUAAAAUACUGAGGUAGCCAUUUUUCCUAUCGCUUCUUAUGAGAAACCAACUGCCUCGACGGAUAUAUUAUCGAAUAUAUUUGUUAAAAACACCUUGAGGAUGGAUCCUAAACAACGUUUGCCGCGUUUCUGUCGAUAUUAUGGAGCAAAUUUUGAAAAAAGUUUGCCGUUAUAGUUGUAGCAUUUUAGGGUCGAUUUCUCAGCCAAGCAUGAUGAACAAGCGGGAGCUAUUUCACCCACAAAAAUAAUAUUUUUGGAAAAAAGGAACAUUUGCUAUCUAACUGGGAGUCUCCUGAGUGAAAGCAUCUGAAGUUCUUCAAAGAGACUCCCUCUGUCCAGCGCUUCCAGAGUCUCCCUCCUGUCCAGCGCUGCCAGAGUCUCCCUCCUGUCCAGCCCUGCCAGAGGCUCCCUCCUGUCCAGCCCUGCCAGAGUCUCCCUCCUGUCCAGCCCUGCCAGAGUCUCCCUCCUGUCCAGCCCUGCCAGAGGCUCCCUCCUGUCCAGCCCUGCCAGAGGCUCCCUCCUGUCCAGCCCUGCCAGAGGCUCC